GACGAACGCUGGCGGCGUGCCUAAUACAUGCAAGUAGAACGCUGAAGGAGGAGCUUGCUUCUCUGGAUGAGUUGCGAACGGGUGAGUAACGCGUAGGUAACCUGCCUGGUAGCGGGGGAUAACUAUUGGAAACGAUAGCUAAUACCGCAUAAGAGUAGAUGUCGCAUGACAUUUGCUUAAAAGUUGCAAUUGCAUCACUACCAGAUGGACCUGCGUUGUAUUAGCUAGUUGGUGAGGUAACGGCUCACCAAGGCAACGAUACAUAGCCGACCUGAGAGGGGGAUCGGCCAAACUGGGACUGAGACACGGCCCAGACUCCUACGGGAGGCAGCAGUAGGGAAUCUUCGGCAAUGGACGGAAGUCUGACCGAGGAACGCCGCGUGAGUGAAGAAGGUUUUCGGAUCGUAAAGCUCUGUUGUAAGAGAAGAACGAGUGUGAGAGUGGAAAGUUCACACUGUGACGGUAUCUUACCAGAAAGGGACGGCUAACUACGUG
Molecule: ribosomal RNA, 495 nt
Filed under: uncultured bacterium
Lineage: Bacteria
Description: partial 16S ribosomal RNA
Rfam family: Bacterial small subunit ribosomal RNA
Source: RNAcentral